CCCUUAGAUGUUCUGGGCUGCACGCGCGCUACACUGGUGCGUUCAGCGAGUUUAGCACCUUAACAGAUAUGUUUGGGUAAUCUUCUGAAAACGCACCGUGAUGGGGAUCGAUUAUUGUAAUUAUUAAUCGUCAACGAGGAAUUCCUAGUAAGUGUGAAUCAUCAGUUCGCGCUGAUUACGUCCCUGCCCUUUGUACACACCGCCCGUCGCUGCUACCGAUUGAGUGGUCCGGUGAAUUAUUCGGACCGGUAGACUGUGGGGAAACCCGCGGCCUGCUGGGAAGUCUUGUGAACCUUAUCACUUAGAGGAAGCAGAAGUCGUAACA
This 325-nucleotide ribosomal RNA is filed under the name uncultured eukaryote. RNAcentral's name for it is "partial 18S ribosomal RNA". It matches the Rfam family "Eukaryotic small subunit ribosomal RNA", at positions 1470 to 1796 of the family's 1831-position model. The record is from RNAcentral.